This 245-nucleotide ribosomal RNA is filed under the name uncultured bacterium. RNAcentral describes it as "partial 16S ribosomal RNA". It matches the Rfam family "Bacterial small subunit ribosomal RNA", at positions 1260 to 1500 of the family's 1533-position model. The record is from RNAcentral.
AAGGCAAGCGGAUCUCUUAAAGCNGUUCUCAGUUCGGACUGCAGUCUGCAACUCGACUGCACGAAGCUAGAAUCGCUAGUAAUCGCGGAUCAGCACGCCGCGGUGAAUACGUUCCCGGGCCUUGUACACACCGCCCGUCACACCAUGGAAGUCUGCAAUGCCCGAAGCCGGUGGCCUAACCACUUAUGUGGAAGGAGCCGUCUAAGGCAGGGCAGAUGACUGGGGUGAAGUCGUAACAAGGUACC